This 492-nucleotide ribosomal RNA is filed under the name uncultured bacterium. RNAcentral's name for it is "partial 16S ribosomal RNA". It matches the Rfam family "Bacterial small subunit ribosomal RNA", at positions 29 to 507 of the family's 1533-position model. The record is from RNAcentral.
AGUGAACGCUGGCGGUAGGCUUAACACAUGCAAGUCGAACGGCAGCACAGUAAGCGCUUGCCCUUACGGGUGGCGAGUGGCGGAAGGGUGCGGAAUACAUCGGAAUCUACUCUUUCGUGGGGGAUAACGUCGGGAAACUUACGCUAAUACCGCAUCCGACCUACGGGUGAAAGCAGUGGAGCUUCGUUACUUGCGCGAUUGAAUGAGCCGGUGUCGGAUUAGCUAGUUGGCGGGGUUAGGGCCCACUAAGGCGACGAUCCGUAGCUGGUCUGAGAGGAGGAUCAGCCACACUGGAACAGAGACACGGUCCAGACUCCUACUGGAGGCAGCAGUGGGGAAUAUUGGACAAUGGGCGCAAGGCUGAUCCAGCCAUACCGCGUGGGUUAAGAAGGCCUUCGGGUUGUAAAGCACUUGUGUUGGGAAAGAAAAGCAGCAGGUUAAGGCCCCGCUGUACUGACGGUACCCAAAGAAUAAGCACCGGCUAACUUCGUG